This 468-nucleotide ribosomal RNA is filed under the name uncultured bacterium. RNAcentral describes it as "partial 16S ribosomal RNA". It matches the Rfam family "Bacterial small subunit ribosomal RNA", at positions 28 to 507 of the family's 1533-position model. The record is from RNAcentral.
GACGAACGCUGGCGGCGUGCUUAACACAUGCAAGUCGAACGGACAGGCCCUGAUUUUGUGGGGUGCUCGAGUGGCGAACGGGUGAGUAACACGUGAGUAACCUGCACUUGACUUUGGGAUAACUUCAGGAAACUGGGGCUAAUACCGGAUAGGAGCUCCUGCUGCAUAGGGGGGGUUGGAGAGUUUCGGCGGUUGGGGAUGGACUCGCGGCUUAUCAGCUUGUUGGUGGGGUAGUGGCUUACCAAGGCUUUGACGGGUAGCCUGCCUGAGAGGGUGACCGGCCACAUUGGGACUGAGAUACGGCCCAGACGCCUACGGGAGGCAGAAGGGGGGAAUAUUGCACAAUGGGCGGAAGCCUGAUGCAGCAACGCCGCGUGCGGGAUGACGGCUUUCGGGUUGUAAACCGCUUUCGCCUGUGACGAAGCUUGAGUGACGGUAAUGGGUAAAGAAGCACCGGCUAACUACGUG